GGGCGCGUAGCUCAGUGGGAGAGCACUCGCCUUACAAGCGAGGGGUCGCAGGUUCGAAACCUGCCGCGCCCACCC
RNAcentral lists this transfer RNA (75 nucleotides) under Micromonospora chalcea. RNAcentral's name for it is "tRNA-Val". It matches the Rfam family "tRNA". From Rfam's summary of the family: Transfer RNA (tRNA) molecules are approximately 80 nucleotides in length. Their secondary structure includes four short double-helical elements and three loops (D, anti-codon, and T loops). Lineage: Bacteria; Bacillati; Actinomycetota; Actinomycetes; Micromonosporales; Micromonosporaceae. The record is from RNAcentral. RNAcentral also lists the same sequence under 50 other names.